AUGAAUGAAACGACGAAGAUGACGCAAUUGCUUCAAUUGUGCUGUGAGAUGAUGAUAAAGUUACGGAGAAUGAUGCAGAUUUGUGAGGUUUUGGAUUUGGAGAGAAGGCGCAGAGAAGAGAAAGCAGAGAGAGAGAGAGAGAGAUUUUUGUUUUCUUUGGUCGUGAUUCCCCUCCGGAAAUUGAAGAAUGAUGAUGAUUUAGAGAGCAAUUCCUGA
Molecule: non-coding RNA, 216 nt
Organism: Vicia faba (fava bean)
Lineage: Eukaryota; Viridiplantae; Streptophyta; Magnoliopsida; Fabales; Fabaceae
Source: the annotation of a GenBank genome assembly